CCCUUAGAUGUUCUGGGCCGCACGCGCGCUACACUGAUGAACGCAACGAGACCACCUGUACCGAAAGGCAUGGGUAAACUUGUGAAAGUUCAUCGUGAUGGGGAUAGAUUAUUGCAAUUAUUAAUCUUCAACGAGGAAUUCCUAGUAAGCGCGAGUCAUCAGCUCGCGUUGAUUACGUCCAUGCCCUUUGUACACACCGCCCGUCGCUCCUACCGAUUGAAUGGUCCGGUGAAAUCUUCGGAUUGCUGGAUAGGACUUCAUUGACCUAUCUGCGAGAAGUUGCUUGAACCUUAUCAUUUAGAGGAAGGAGAANUCGUANCA
RNAcentral lists this ribosomal RNA (321 nucleotides) under uncultured eukaryote. RNAcentral describes it as "partial 18S ribosomal RNA". It matches the Rfam family "Eukaryotic small subunit ribosomal RNA", at positions 1470 to 1796 of the family's 1831-position model. The record is from RNAcentral.